AUAAUAGCUCAGUUGGUAGAGCACUAGCUUCCCAAGCUGGGGGUCGCGGGUUCGAGCCCCGUUUAU
RNAcentral lists this transfer RNA (66 nucleotides) under Prevotella pectinovora. It matches the Rfam family "tRNA". Rfam says of the family: Transfer RNA (tRNA) molecules are approximately 80 nucleotides in length. Their secondary structure includes four short double-helical elements and three loops (D, anti-codon, and T loops). The record is from RNAcentral. RNAcentral also lists the same sequence under 1 other name. Lineage: Bacteria; Pseudomonadati; Bacteroidota; Bacteroidia; Bacteroidales; Prevotellaceae.